GAUAUUUGCCCGCCUCGCUCGGCUCUCUCCCUCUCGGUUCUCUCUGUCGGAGCGUCGUCGGCGCCGUUGCCGCGGCCUCGACCCCUCCCUCACCACACCGACGCGUCCAACGGCUCCAGCGGCCUCCUCCACGUCGGCUACAAGCCCCGGAUGGAGCUCGGAGUCGGCGCAUCAAGCGGAUCGAUGCCUCCCCACCUCGUCUCCCUUCUCGAACGCCGCUGCCCUCGUCGUUGUCUCCGGCCACCUCGACCCUCCCCGAGCCCGCUGCCGACCCCUACAACACCGAUAUGGUGGAUCCCUGGAGCUAGAUGCCACCGCUGACGGAUGCUACUAUGUGGAGACCGCCAACGACCAGGAGUAGUUAGGAGGUCCCAGGCAGGAGGCCUUGCCUCUUCGAUCGUUGAUGUUUAUGCUAGCCUUCUUAAGGCAUCCUUGUUUAACUUAUGUCUGUACUCAGAUAUUGUUGCUUCCGCUGACGCUUGUGUAUCAAGCUUGUAUUCGAACCCUCGAGGCCCCUGGCUUGUAAUAUGAAGCUUGUAUUAUUUUUAUUUGUGUCUA
Long non-coding RNA from Triticum dicoccoides, 558 nucleotides. RefSeq lists it as uncharacterized. The transcript has 2 exons. The record is from RefSeq and is a predicted model, not a curated record. NCBI's taxonomy places the organism in Eukaryota, Viridiplantae, Streptophyta, Magnoliopsida, Poales, Poaceae.